This 22-nucleotide small nuclear RNA is filed under the name Arabidopsis thaliana (thale cress). Its description in RNAcentral is "snRNA_09366". The record is from RNAcentral. Lineage: Eukaryota; Viridiplantae; Streptophyta; Magnoliopsida; Brassicales; Brassicaceae.
UGGAGAUGGUCUAAUGUUCCAU